AGAGACUUAGGUUCAACACAAAGACCCGGGUCCUUCAAAGUCCUAAGUGGGGGUGAAAAUCCCUCAGUCUCUG
This 73-nucleotide transfer RNA is filed under the name Tomeurus gracilis. RNAcentral describes it as "tRNA-Trp". It matches the Rfam family "tRNA". Rfam says of the family: Transfer RNA (tRNA) molecules are approximately 80 nucleotides in length. The record is from RNAcentral. Lineage: Eukaryota; Metazoa; Chordata; Actinopteri; Cyprinodontiformes; Poeciliidae.